GUAGGGAAUCUUCCACAAUGGGCGCAAGCCUGAUGGAGCAACACCGCGUGAGUGAAGAAGGGUUUCGGCUCGUAAAACUCUGUUGUUGAAGAAGAACGUGCGUGAGAGUAACUGUUCAUGCAGUGACGGUAUUCAACCAGAAAGUCACGGCUAACUACGUGCCAGCAGCCGCGGUAAUACGUAGGUGGCAAGCGUUAUCCGGAUUUAUUGGGCGUAAAGCGAGCGCAGGCGGUUACUUAAGUCUGAUGUGAAAGCCUUCGGCUUAACCGAAGAAGUGCAUCGGAAACUGGGUGACUUGAGUGCAGAAGAGGACAGUGGAACUCCAUGUGUAGCGGUGGAAUGCGUAGAUAUAUGGAAGAACACCAGUGGCGAAGGCGGCUGUCUGGUCUGCAACUGACGCUGAGGCUCGAAAGCAUGGGUAGCGAACAGGAUUAGAAACCCUAGUAGUCC
RNAcentral lists this ribosomal RNA (450 nucleotides) under uncultured bacterium. RNAcentral describes it as "bacterial SSU rRNA". It matches the Rfam family "Bacterial small subunit ribosomal RNA", at positions 354 to 796 of the family's 1533-position model. The record is from RNAcentral.